AAAGGGAGACCUUCUUAACCCUUCAAGACAGUCAAAAAGUAGCUUGAAGAGUCUAGACAAUCCCAAGGUCGCACAGGUAUUGAAAGCUCAUAAUUAGCAAUAAUUAAAAGUGGCAAGUCUUCAAACUAGAGAUUAGGUUCGAUUCUCCAAACCGAAAGCAAGGGCUAUUAGCUCAGGUGGUUAGAGCGCACCCCUGAUAAGGGUGAGGUCCCUGGUUCAAGUCCAGGAUGGCCCACCACAAUUAAAAGGAUCAGUAAUGAAGGCGGAAGGAUGAGGAAAAGUCAUCGUGAAGCAUCGAAGCUAGUUCGGAAAAUUGAGAAGAAGGAGAGAGAAAGCUGGAAAAAGGAAGUAAAAAGUCCUUAAUCCUUAUCCCUCAUAAUUCAUCCUUAAAAGUAUGGGGGUAUAGCUCAGCUGGUAGAGCGCCUGCUUUGCAAGCAGGAUGUCAGCGGUUCAAGUCCGCUUACCUCCACCACAAGAAGAAGACCUGCUUUGUCAGCCCCAGAAAUCAGAGAGCUAAAAUCAGCAUCAUCAGAAGCCCCAAAGCCAGACUGAGAAUGCUGAGUUUUAAACUCAGUAAGAACCUUGAAAACUGCAUAAAGAAAGAAAAGUCAACUGUAAAACAAGUAACUAAGUCAAAAGUAGUCCUCAAAAAUAGCA
This 657-nucleotide transfer RNA is filed under the name Hyella patelloides LEGE 07179. Its description in RNAcentral is "16S-23S ribosomal RNA intergenic spacer". The stretch from base 397 to 469 matches the Rfam family "tRNA". Lineage: Bacteria; Bacillati; Cyanobacteriota; Cyanophyceae; Pleurocapsales; Pleurocapsaceae. The record is from RNAcentral.